Long non-coding RNA from Helianthus annuus (common sunflower), 2015 nucleotides. RefSeq lists it as uncharacterized. NCBI's taxonomy places the organism in Eukaryota, Viridiplantae, Streptophyta, Magnoliopsida, Asterales, Asteraceae. The transcript has 4 exons. The record is from RefSeq and is a predicted model, not a curated record.
UCGUGUCAAUGAACUGCCUAACACUCGCUCAUUAUUCGGCCAUCGCCCCGCAACGCGGGCGGGGCGUCAACUAGUAUACUACAAAGACCAUGAGGGGGAACAGUGCCAAACAACUGCCCGUCACUCCCACAUUGCCCCGGACAAGUUACGAUUUUACCCACAAUUUAAAAUUACGAUUUUCCCCCUUUUCAAAAUUAUGAUUUUGUCCCUCAUUCUAAUUUACAUUCUUGCCACUCUUUUAGCUUUUGACAAAUUAUGAUUUUACCCCAGUUAAAAAUUAUGAUUUUGCCCCCAGUUCGAAAUUACGUUCUACCCACCGUUUUAGUUUUUUUAAGCAAAACUAUGGUUGUGUUUUAUUUUAAUUGGUUGACUCGAUAUAAUUUAUAUUCGUGUCAGCCAGCUGCCUUGUACUCGCUCAUUGUUUUGACAAAUUUCAGUUUUGCCCCCAGCUAAAAGUUAUAGCUUUGCCAUUGUUUUAGUUUUUUUUAUCUAGCAAAGCUACGAUACUGUUUUGUUUAAUUGGUAAACAAAUAUUCGGUCUAGCAUCCCGCAAAACGGGCAGGACAUAAAACUAGUUCAUUUACAUAUAUAAUAUCGAUUUAGCUAUAUGCAAUUAACACUUAAUCAUGUUUAAUUAGAGGUGGCAAUCCUGACCUAAAGGCUUUCAGGUGGGUUAGUUUGGGUUGCUUUUAAAAUUAUAUGGUUAGUUUGGGUAAGAUAUUUUAACUAAACGGGUCACAACGGGUCAAUUGAAAUUUCAUCUUGUUAUUUUCGGGUCAAAGCGGGUCGACAACUUUAAAGAAAUUGGUCGAUGUGGGUUAGCACCUUAAAGAAACGAGACAAGUUUUGGAUCAGAAUGGGUUUCGGGUCGGCACAAGUAUACACACAAGAGGGGUUAUGGCACGAAACAGGUUUUGGUUCGGAACGGUUUCAGUUCGAAUUGAAUUUCGGACCGAGACGGGUUUUGGAUCGGAACGGGUCGGUUAGGAUCGGGUUCGGGCCGACACGGGUUUCUGCACGAGACGGGUUUUGGAUCGCAACAGGUUUUAGGCCGACAUGAAUUUUCGCACGAGACGAGCUUCGGUUCGGGACGGGUUUCGGUUUGGUUUCGUUUUUUGUUUCGGUUUCACUACUACAAAAAGAGGCACCUGCUAUGAAGUUUUGUCAUGAAAUAAAACUGGUCGCAAAUUUUGCUAUGUAUUAUUGUUAAAAAAUAUUAUUUGGGUUUCAACUUUUUAUUGUUAAUAAAAUAUUUUAUAAAAUAUUUUGUGAUUGGUUACUUUAAUUGUUAAUAAAAUACAAAAAUAUUUUAUAACCUCCUAUAAAUUCAUUUUACCUCGGUAGAACCACUUUUUCCUCCACUAACCCACUUUCCCCUAAAACUACUUUAGUUCCCUCCUAAUUUCAAACACAAUUCAGUAAUUCCCCCCAUAUAUUACCCCUAUUUCAAUCAAUAAUGUUACUAUCAUGUCUUUAGAUUCGUGCCUCCCUGAAAUCCUCUUCCCUUCCCUCUCACUAAUACCGAUCCCUCUUUAGGGCCGGGUCGCCGGGUCACCGAACAACAGGAGUACUAAAACCUUUAUGAACAACAGGCACAUCAACUGUUUGAUAAUUUGCCCCAACUAGAUGUUGAUGUUGGGGAUACACAAGGAGACAACCGUUCAUGUCUGCUUCAACUUUCUUUUGUUUGAUUGAGAUGUACAUCAAAGUAGUUUAUUAAUGUCUUGGAAAAGAAGCCUUGGCAAUGGGCAACGAUGGACGUAUGCCUCGCACAAAAUAGUGUUUCAUUAGAUGAGCAUGGCAACGAUGGAUGCAUAUGGAACUUGUGCUCAAAGUUCAAGAGAUAUCAAUAUCCAUAAACUUUACCCAUCAAUUGGGUGGUGUGUAAUUUUGUAUGAUGUGGAUCUGCUAGACGUUACAGAAUUUAUGAACACAAACUUGUGAUUAGAGAAUACAAUUUGUAUCGUACUUACAUAAUUUGUAUAAUUUUGUAUUUCAUUUGAAUAAUGUGUACA